RNAcentral lists this ribosomal RNA (253 nucleotides) under uncultured bacterium. RNAcentral's name for it is "partial 16S ribosomal RNA". It matches the Rfam family "Bacterial small subunit ribosomal RNA", at positions 524 to 776 of the family's 1533-position model. The record is from RNAcentral.
UACAGAGGUCUCAAGCGUUGUUCGGAUUCAUUGGGCGUAAAGGGCGCGUAGGCGGCGGGGUAAGUCGGGUGUGAAAUCUCAGAGCUCAACUCUGAGACUGCACUCGAUACUGCUCUGCUUGAGGACUGGAGAGGAGACUGGAAUUCACGGUGUAGCAGUGAAAUGCGUAGAUAUCGUGAGGAAGACCAGUGGCGAAGGCGGGUCUCUGGACAGUUCCUGACGCUGAGGCGCGAAGGCCAGGGGAGCAAACGGG